UACGUAGGGUGCAAGCGUUGUCCGGAAUUAUUGGGCGUAAAGGGCUCGUAGGCGGUCCAUCGCGUCGGGAGUGAAAAGCUGGGGCUCAACCCCAGUCCUGCUUCCGAUACGGGUGGACUAGAGGUAGGCAGGGGAGAACGGAAUUCCUGGUGUAGCGGUGAAAUGCGCAGAUAUCAGGAGGAACACCGGUGGCGAAGGCGGUUCUCUGGGACGGUACUGACGCUGAGACGCGAAAGCGUGGGGAGCGAACAGG
This 253-nucleotide ribosomal RNA is filed under the name uncultured bacterium. Its description in RNAcentral is "partial 16S ribosomal RNA". It matches the Rfam family "Bacterial small subunit ribosomal RNA", at positions 524 to 776 of the family's 1533-position model. The record is from RNAcentral.